GGGUGAAAGACAUUCACUACACCAGAGGAGACAAAGGAAGCACGUUGCUGUUAUUGCUGUUCAUGGCCUUCUUCCAACAGUAAGGGAAGCUAGUUUGAAGAUAAACUGUACAAAGGAAAGUAAAACAAGAGAAGUGCAGCGAAAUGGUGCCGGAGCCGUGAUGCAGCUACAACCUAGAGUUCUCACAAUCUCUUAAUUUCCUGCUGUCGGCGAUAAAUGUGAUCAUUUUGGCCGAUUUGGUUCAGUUUUUCUGUUCCGUGAAGCUGAAAGCAUCCUGACACAGGUAGCUGGACAGUACUGGACCCAUCACAAUUUCAAUACUGGGAAGAGAAAAGCCAGUCCUCUGGGGAAAGAUGAAGCACUGGACCUACAAACUAACUACUUUCAACCCCUGGAUGAAUCUAGGAGCAGAUUAGUCCCGAUAUCAAGGCAAUGUCAAGAGUGAAGGGGAGGAUCAAGAUUUUUUUUGAGUGAUUGUUUCCUGGAAGGAGAAAAAAAAAUAACAAGAAAAUGACCAUGGAAAGUAACAACAACUGAAAACGGAUAAAAUGAAGAUGUGUGAAAGAGCACAAGAGUGCAAAACCAAAAGUAUACAAGGAGUGUUUAUGCAGUAACCACUUUAGAAUGCCUUUCCUCAUGUUUGAAGACUUCUAAACUAGGGCAAGGACAGAUCCCAGCAACUACUGGAAGCAUAAUAAAGGAGAAGAAUGAGGCAUUUUCUUCUCUCAUAUACAGAUUAUAUGUAAUUAGGAUGCUAAGGAUAAUUUUGUAACAUAAAAACGGAGAUGCUAAGGAGAAUGGUUUCACCCUAGUUUAUAGAAGGAGGGUAUACUAUGGUCUAUCAAAGACUGAAAAUUGUCCUCUGCUAAUAAAGUCUCAAAUCAGGGCAAUUGGAUUUCUUUCUUUUUUUUUUUUUAUUAUACUUUAAGUUUUAGGGUACAUGUGCACAAUGUGAAGGUUUGUUACAUAUGUAUACAUGUUCCAUGUUGGUGUGCUGCACCCAUUAACUCAUCAUUUACAUUAGGUAUAUCUCCUAAUGCUAUCCCUCCCCACUCUCCCAGCCCCACAACAGGUCCUGGUGUGUGAUGUUCUCCUUCCUGUGUCCAUGUGUUCAAUUCCCACCUAUGAGUUGAGUUAGAGUUACUAGUCUCAAAUAAAUGCUUGGUAAUGCCAUACAAUCUAAACAUGUUGUCACUGUCAACUCACUAUCUCAUAUUCUGCAAUGAUACCCUUCUAUAUUCUGAAAUUCCUUCCCCAUUCUCAGCAGAUAGCCUCAGAUCAUAUAUCAUACACACAAUUGAACAUAUCACAUAGAAAUUUCAUCAGCUCACUGCCUCCAAUCCAAUGAACCUAACAUCUACUAACAUCAACACCAUCCAGGAAACCAUGACCUCACCAGAUGAACUAAAUAAGGCACCAGGGAAAAAUACCAGUGAAACAGAGACAUGUGACCUUUCAGACAGAUAAUUCAAAAUAGCUGUGUUGAGGAAACUCAAAUUCAAGAUGAUACAGAGAAGGAAUUCAGAAUUAGAUAAAUUUAACAAAGAGAUUGAAAUAAUUAAGAAUCAAGCAGAAAUUCUGGAGCUGAAAAACGCAACUGGCGUAUUGAGAAAUGCACCAGAGUCUCUUAAUAGCAGAACUGAUCAAGCAGAAGAAUGAAUUAGUGAUGUUGAAGACAGACUAUUGGAAAUGCACAGUCAGAAGAGAAAAAAGAAAAAACAAUGAAGCACGCCUACAGGAUCUAAAAAAUAGCCCCCAAAGGGCAAAUCUAAGAGUUACUGGCCUUAAAGAGGGGGGGCUCAACACCCAAGUACAAAAAGGUUAGAGAACACCAAGUAGAUUUAAUCUAAAGAAGACUACCUUGAAUCGUUUAACAAUUAAACUCCCAAAGGUCAAGGAUAAAGAAAGGAUACUAAAAGAACCAAGAGAAAAGAAACAAGUAACAUACACUAGAGCUCCAGUACACCUGGUAGCAGACUUUUCAGUGGAAACCUUACACACCAGGAGAGUGACAUGGCAUAUUUAAAGUGCUAAAGGGUGGAAAAAAAGCCUUUUACCCUGGA
This 2063-nucleotide long non-coding RNA is filed under the name Homo sapiens (human). RNAcentral describes it as "HSALNT0212034". Lineage: Eukaryota; Metazoa; Chordata; Mammalia; Primates; Hominidae. The record is from RNAcentral.